UGGGGAAUAUUGGACAAUGGGGGCAACCCUGAUCCAGCCAUGCCGCGUGAGUGAUGAAGGCCUUCGGGUUGUAAAGCUCUUUUGGCGGGGACGAUGAUGACGGUACCCGCAGAAUAAGCCCCGGCUAACUUCGUGCCAGCAGCCGCGGUAAGACGAAGGGGGCUAGCGUUGUUCGGAAUUACUGGGCGUAAAGCGAGUGUAGGCGGUUGCCGUAGUCAGGUGUGAAAGCCUUGAGCUCAACUCAAGAAAUGCACUUGAUACUGGGCGACUAGAGGACCGGAGAGGAUAGUGGAAUUCCCAGUGUAGUGGUGAAAUACGUAGAGAUUGGGAAGAACACCAGUGGCGAAGGCGGCUAUCUGGACGGUUACUGACGCUAAGACUCGAAAGCGUGGGGAGCAAACAGGAUUAGAUACCCUGGUAGUCCACGCCGUAAACGAUGGGUGCUAGACGUUGGCGAGCUUGCUCGUCAGUGUCGCAGCUAACGCGUUAAGCA
RNAcentral lists this ribosomal RNA (493 nucleotides) under uncultured bacterium. Its description in RNAcentral is "partial 16S ribosomal RNA". It matches the Rfam family "Bacterial small subunit ribosomal RNA", at positions 355 to 866 of the family's 1533-position model. The record is from RNAcentral.